Molecule: ribosomal RNA, 505 nt
Filed under: uncultured Glomus
Lineage: Eukaryota; Fungi; Glomeromycota; Glomeromycetes; Glomerales; Glomeraceae
Description: SSU rRNA
Rfam family: Eukaryotic small subunit ribosomal RNA
Source: RNAcentral
AGCAGCCGCGGUAAUUCCAGCUCCAAUAGCGUAUAUUAAAGUUGUUGCAGUUAAAAAGCUCGUAAUUGAAUUUCGGGGUUAGUAGGUUGGUCAUGCCCCUGGUAUGUACUGGUCUCACUGAUUCCUCCUUCCUGAUGAACCUUAAUGCCAUUAAUUUGGUGUUUUGGGGAAUUUGGACUGUUACUUUGAAAAAUUAGAGUGUUUAAAGCAAGCUAACGCUUGAAUACAUUAGCAUGGAAUAAUGAAAUAGGACGUUCGAUCCUAUUUUGUUGGUUUCUAGGAUUGACGUAAUGAUUAAUAGGGAUAGUUGGGGGCAUUAGUAUUCAAUUGUCAGAGGUGAAAUUCUUGGAUUUAUUGAAGACUAACUACUGCGAAAGCAUUUGCCAAGGAUGUUUUCAUUAAUCAAGAACGAAAGUUAGGGGAUCGAAGACGAUCAGAUACCGUCGUAGUCUUAACCAUAAACUAUGCCGACUAGGGAUCGAAUGAUGUUAAUUUUUAAUGUACU